GACAUUAACAAGGACUAUAAAAUUGGUAGACUUCUGGGUCAAGGAGGAUUUGGAAAAGUGUAUGAAGGAAUGCGAUUGUCUGAUUCACGAAAGGUGGCACUCAAAUAUGUGUUCAAGACAGAAUGCUAUGAAAAUGAGCGACUUAGUCUAUUUGGCAAAUUGCUUCCAAAUGAGGUCGCUAUGAUGAUUCGUGUGAGCGAAGGCCCCAGCGUUCCCCAAAUAAUAAAGCUGCUGGACUGGUAUGAGACACGGAAUGACUACAUACUGGUCAUAGAGCGGCCCACGCCUUGCAAAGAUCUGCGGCAGUAUUUAGUGCAAAAUGGUGGCAGAAUCAGCGAGUCAAAAGCACGAGUUGUGAUGCAUCAAGUUGUUACUGCUGCAAGAAUAUGCUUUGAAAAGGGAAUCUACCACAGCGACAUCAAGCUAGAAAACCUGCUAAUCAAUGAGAACAGCUUGCAGGUCAAAUUAAUCGACUUCGGUGUUGGUAGAAGCUUCAAGACGUUUGGUUAUACAAGGUACAU
This is a long non-coding RNA of Ctenopharyngodon idella (grass carp), 521 nucleotides long. RefSeq lists it as uncharacterized. The transcript is spliced from 3 exons. The record is from RefSeq and is a predicted model, not a curated record. NCBI's taxonomy places the organism in Eukaryota, Metazoa, Chordata, Actinopteri, Cypriniformes, Xenocyprididae.